Molecule: ribosomal RNA, 293 nt
Filed under: uncultured bacterium
Lineage: Bacteria
Description: partial 16S ribosomal RNA
Rfam family: Bacterial small subunit ribosomal RNA
Source: RNAcentral
GUGUCAGCAGCCGCGGUAAUACGGAGGGUGCGAGCGUUGUCCGGAAUCACUGGGCGUAAAGGGCGCGUAGGUGGCUUAGAAAGUGUGUGGUGAAAGCCCGGGGCUUAACCCCGGGUCUGCCGUGCAAACUACUAUGGCUAGAGGACUGUAGAGGCAAGUUGAAUUCCGGGUGUAGCGGUGGAAUGCGUAGAGAUCCGGAAGAAUACCGGUGGCGAAGGCGGCUUGCUGGGCAGUUUCUGACACUGAGGCGCGACAGCGUGGGGAGCAAACAGGAUUAGAUACCCUCGUAGUCC